Molecule: transfer RNA, 76 nt
Filed under: Microbacterium phage Franklin22
Lineage: Duplodnaviria; Heunggongvirae; Uroviricota; Caudoviricetes
Description: tRNA-Lys
Rfam family: tRNA
About the family: Transfer RNA (tRNA) molecules are approximately 80 nucleotides in length.
Source: RNAcentral
ACCUCUAUAGCUCAGUUGGUAGAGCUACCGCCUCUUAAGCGGAAGGUCGCAGGUUCGAGUCCUGCUGGGGGUACCA